GUAGUAAAGGGACUCCUUUAUUCAUAUGCAGUUCCUGCCACAACUCUGAAUGCAUAGAUUCUUUUGACUUGACAUAAAUGCCACAGAUUUGUUUUUAUUUUAAUGAAGCCCAAUGACAGGAGAUCCACCAAUAAACUGGAGCCUUUGAAGCCUAAAAUAUUUAGCAACUGGCCCUUUAAUGUGUUGACCUUUGGACUAAAGGAACUGGGAGGACUUUGGACUGGAAGAAAGAACACAAUAUGACAACCGCUCUCAAAUAUUUGCCGGACUCAACAGGGAGCUGGAUCCAUCCAUCACCAGGGAAUCUUUACUAUGGAACACUCUCCUACCUAUGAAGAAAGAGGAAAGAAAGAACCUAAGACAUCAGAGAGCCACUUAGGAUUAAGAACGCAAGCUGCCCCCAAUAUGCAUCCUCUGUCCUUAAAGACCUGAGCUACGAACAUGGAAAAGAUUGAAAAACACUGCCUUCAGUCUAUCUUACAGGUACUUCCACAUGAAUAUAAACAGAUCUAUCACUUUGUGUUUACUGGCAACAUGGAUGGAAUUUCCAGAAUGGAACAGUGAUGGACUAUUAUCAACUUGCUCCAUAAUCCGUUUAGCGUUAAAGAGGACCACAGAAACUGCACCUCCAGGUGUCACAGGUUACAAAACUAAUAACUAAAACAAAUUAAAAAACUUAUCUCAGAUUCCCUCCUGGAGUCUACUGCCUUGUUUAUAC
This 718-nucleotide long non-coding RNA is filed under the name Homo sapiens (human). Its description in RNAcentral is "HSALNT0393205". Lineage: Eukaryota; Metazoa; Chordata; Mammalia; Primates; Hominidae. The record is from RNAcentral.